This 468-nucleotide ribosomal RNA is filed under the name uncultured bacterium. RNAcentral's name for it is "partial 16S ribosomal RNA". It matches the Rfam family "Bacterial small subunit ribosomal RNA", at positions 28 to 507 of the family's 1533-position model. The record is from RNAcentral.
GACGAACGCUGGCGGCGUGCUUAACACAUGCAAGUCGAACGGUGAUGCUCCAGCUUGCUGGAUUGGAUCAGUGGCGAACGGGUGAGUAACACGUGAGCAACCUGCCCCUGACUCUGGAAUAAGCGCUGGAAACGGCGUCUAAUACUGGAUACGAAACUGGCCCGCAUGGGCAUGGUUUGGAAAGUUUUUCGGUUUGGGAUGGGCUCGCGGCCUAUCAGCUUGUUGGUGAGGUAAUGGCUCACCAAGGCGACGACGGGUAGCCGGCCUGAGAGGGCGACCGGCCACACUGGGACUGAGACACGGCCCAGACUCCUACGGGAGGCAGCAGUGGGGAAUAUUGCACAAUGGGCGAAAGCCUGAUGCAGCGACGCCGCGUGAGGGAUGACGGCCUUCGGGUUGUAAACCACUUUCAGCAGGGAAGAAGCGAAAGUGACGGUACCUGCAGAAGAAGCACCGGCUAACUACGUG